UACGUAGGGGGCUAGCGUUAUCCGGAAUUACUGGGCGUAAAGGGUGCGUAGGUGGUUUCUUAAGUCAGAGGUGAGAGGCUACGGCUCAACCGUAGUAAGCCUUUGAAACUGGGAAACUUGAGUGCAGGAGAGGAGAGUGGAAUUCCUAGCGUAGCGGUGAAAUGCACAGAUAUGUCGUGGAAUACCGAUUGCGAAGGCAGCUAACUGGGUCUUGAUUGACGCUGAGGCACGAAAGCGUGGGGAGCGAACAGGAUUAGAUACCCUGGUAGU
RNAcentral lists this ribosomal RNA (270 nucleotides) under uncultured prokaryote. Its description in RNAcentral is "partial 16S ribosomal RNA". It matches the Rfam family "Bacterial small subunit ribosomal RNA", at positions 524 to 794 of the family's 1533-position model. The record is from RNAcentral.